AUCCAACUGAUGAGUUCCAAAUAGAACGAAACGAGCAUUCUAGAU
This 45-nucleotide non-coding RNA is filed under the name Schistosoma haematobium. The record is from RNAcentral. Lineage: Eukaryota; Metazoa; Platyhelminthes; Trematoda; Strigeidida; Schistosomatidae.